UCAUUAAAUCAGUUAUCGUUUAUUUGAUAGUCCCUUACUACUUGGAUAACCGUGGUAAUUCUAGAGCUAAUACAUGCUAAAAACCCCGACUUACGAAGGGGUGUAUUUAUUAGAUAAAAAACCAAUGCCCUCCGGGGCUUCUUGGUGAAUCAUAAUAACUUAACGAAUCGCAUGGCCUUGUGCCGGCGAUGGUUCAUUCAAAUUUCUGCCCUAUCAACUUUCGAUGUUAAUGUAUUGGAUUAACAUGGUUUCAACGGGUAACGGGGAAUUAGGGUUCUAUUCCGGAGAGGGAGCCUGAGAAACGGCUACCACAUCCAAGGAAGGCAGCAGGCGCGCAAAUUACCCAAUCCCGACUCGGGGAGGUAGUGACAAUAAAUACUGAUACAGGGCUCUUUUGGGUCUUGUAAUUGGAAUGAGUACAAUUUAAAUCCCUUAACGAGGAACAAUUGGAGGGCAAGUCUGGUGCCAGCAGCCGCGGUAAUUCCAGCUCCAAUAGCGUAUAUUAAAGUUGUUGCAGUUAAAAAGCUCGUAGUUGAACCUUGGGCCUGGCUGGCCGGUCCGCCUCACCGCGUGCACUGGUCCGGCCGGGCCUUUCCUCCUGGGGAGCCGCAUGCCCUUCACUGGGUGUGUCGGGGAUCCAGGACUUUUACUUUGAAAAAAUUAGAGUGUUCAAAGCAGGCAUUUGCUCGGAUACAUUAGCAUGGAAUAAUGAAAUAGGACGUGUGGUCUUAUUUUGUUGGUUUCUAAGACCGCCGUAAUGAUUAAUAGGGAUAGUCGGGGGCAUCAGUAUUCGAUUGUCAGAGGUGAAAUUCUUGGAUUUAUUGAAGACUAACUACUGCGAAAGCAUUUGCCAAGGAUGUUUUCAUUAAUCAGUGAACGAAAGUUAGGGGAUCGAAGACGAUCAGAUACCGUCGUAGUCUUAACCAUAAACUAUGCCGACUAGGGAUCGGGCGAUGUUAUCUUUUUGACUCGCUCGGCACCUUACGAGAAAUCAAAGUCUUUGG
This 1004-nucleotide ribosomal RNA is filed under the name Bloxamia truncata. RNAcentral describes it as "SSU rRNA". It matches the Rfam family "Eukaryotic small subunit ribosomal RNA", at positions 98 to 1110 of the family's 1831-position model. Lineage: Eukaryota; Fungi; Ascomycota; Leotiomycetes; Helotiales; Bloxamiaceae. The record is from RNAcentral.